AAUAGAUACCCCGGUAGUCCACGCCCUAAACGAUGUCAACUAGCUGUUGGGGCCUUCGGGCCUUGGUAGCGCAGCUAACGCGUGAAGUUGACCGCCUGGGGAGUACGGUCGCAAGAUUAAAACUCAAAGGAAUUGACGGGGACCCGCACAAGCGGUGGAUGAUGUGGAUUAAUUCGAUGCAACGCGAAAAACCUUACCUACCCUUGACAUGUCUGGAAUGCCGAAGAGAUUUGGCAGUGCUCGCAAGAGAACCGGAACACAGGUGCUGCAUGGCUGUCGUCAGCUCGUGUCGUGAGAUGUUGGGUUAAGUCCCGCAACGAGCGCAACCCUUGUCAUUAGUUGCUACGAAAGGGCACUCUAGUGAGACUGCCGGUGACAAACCGGAGGAAGUGGGGAUGACGUCAAGUCCUCAUGGCCCUUAUGGGUAGGGCUUCACACGUCAUACAAUGGUCGGGACAGAGGGUCGCCAACCCGCGAGGGGGAGCCGAAUCCCAGAAACCCGAUCGUAGUCCGGAUCGCAGUCUGCAA
RNAcentral lists this ribosomal RNA (528 nucleotides) under uncultured bacterium. Its description in RNAcentral is "bacterial SSU rRNA". It matches the Rfam family "Bacterial small subunit ribosomal RNA", at positions 777 to 1310 of the family's 1533-position model. The record is from RNAcentral.